UUUCCGUAGGUGAACCUGCGGAAGGAUCAUUAAAAAAUUGGACUCCAUUGGUGAGUUCAUUAAUAAUCCCUACCCUUUGUGAAUUUGUUUGUUUGAAUAAUUUUUUUUCCAAAAAAAAUUAUUGAAUGUCUUUCCCUGUUUUGGUGGAGCUUGUAAAGUGAAACCAGGCAGGGGAAUGGCAAACAAUAAUUAUUUUUGAAAAAAGACCUUUUUUUAAAAUUAAACUUUUUGUAUUCAUUUGUCUAAAAUUAUUUUUAUAAUAUAAAAACAACUUUUGACAAUGGAUCUCUUGGUUCUCGCAACGAUGAAGAACGCAGCAAAAUGCGAUAAGUAGUGUGAAUUGCAGAAUACGUGAAUCAUCGAAUCUUCGAACGCAUAUUGCACUUUUUUAGUUUACUAAAAAAGUAUGUCUGUUUGAGUAUCAGUAAAAUGUUCUCAUAAAAAACAUUGUUUUUUUAUGGUUAUGAGUGUUUUACAACGAUAACAAGUUGUUUCACUUUAAAUUCUUUGUUAUCAAAAAAAUCAUUAAAAGCUAAUUUUAAAGAUUUUUUAAAAUUGGAUAAAAUUUUCCCGUAAAAAGGAAUAACCUAAACAAUUUUAAAAAAUUAAAAUUGGUUUGAUUUUUUUUGAAACCCAAAGGAAAAAAAAAACGAAAUUAACUUGAUCUCAAAUCAGAUAAGAGUACCCGCUGAACUUAAGCAUAUCAAUAAGCGGAGGAAAAGAAACUAACUAGGAUUCCCUCAGUAACGGCGAGUGAAGCGGGAAGAGCUCAAAUUUGAAAUCUUCAAGGUUUUACCUUGACGAAUUGUAGUUUAAAGAAGUGUUUGCUGUUGGAGUUUUGGUAAAAGUUCUUUGGAAAAGGACAUCAUAGAGGGUGAGAAUCCCGUAUUUGACCAUUAUCUCCAGCUUUGUGAUACACUUUCAAAGAGUCGGAUUGUUUGGGAAUGCAGUCCAAAAUGGGUGGUAAAUUUCAUCUAAAGCUAAAUACUGGCGAGAGACCGAUAGCGAACAAGUACCGUGAGGGAAAGAUGAAAGAACUUUGAAAAGAGAGUUAAACAGUACGUGAAAUUGUCAAAAGGGAAGCGUUUGACACCAGUGUUGUUUUCUCGAAAAUCAAUUAAAAAAGGCCGGAUUUUGUGUUGUAUUGACUUUAUCAGCUUUCUGCACUUUUUUCUUGUCUUUUUUAAUGCACUUUUCGUUUAACAAGUCAACAUCAAUUUCUUUUGUUGUAAAAGGGUCAUUGGAAGGUGGCUUUCUUUUCGGAGAAAGUGUUUAUAGCCUUUGGACUCUGCAAUCGGAGAGAUUGAGGUCUGCAGCGUAGAUCCUUCUGGGAUUAGAUCAUUUGUGCUAAGUUAUAGCUUUUAUAGACAACUUGUUGACUAUGAUUCAGUCUGUAGCUUACUCGCUUAUGCAAUUUUACCUACGCUUAGGAUGUUG
RNAcentral lists this unclassified non-coding RNA (1437 nucleotides) under uncultured Neocallimastigales. Its description in RNAcentral is "partial contains small subunit ribosomal RNA, internal transcribed spacer 1, 5.8S ribosomal RNA, internal transcribed spacer 2, and large subunit ribosomal RNA". The stretch from base 662 to 1437 matches the Rfam family "Eukaryotic large subunit ribosomal RNA", at positions 1 to 628 of the family's 3401-position model. The record is from RNAcentral. Lineage: Eukaryota; Fungi; Neocallimastigomycota; Neocallimastigomycetes; Neocallimastigales.